AGUGAACGCUGGCGGUAGGCCUAACACAUGCAAGUCGAACGGCAGCACAGUAAGAGCUUGCUCUUACGGGUGGCGAGUGGCGGACGGGUGAGGAAUACAUCGGAAUCUACUUUUUCGUGGGGGAUAACGUAGGGAAACUUACGCUAAUACAGCAUACGACCUACGGGUGAAAGCAGGGGAUCUUCGGACCUUGCGCGAUUGAAUGAGACGAUGUCGGAUUAGCUAGUUGGCGGGGUAAAGGCCCACCAGGGCGACGAUCCGUAGCUGGUCUGAGAGGAUGAUCAGCCACACUGGAACUGAGACACGGUCCAGACUCCUACGGGAGGCAGCAGUGGGGAAUAUUGGACAAUGGGCGCAAGCCUGAUCCAGCCAUACCGCGUGGGUGAAGAAGGCCUUCGGGUUGUAAAGCCCUUUUGUUGGGAAAGAAAAGCAGCAGGUUAAUACCCCGCUGUUCUGACGGUACCCAAAGAAUAAGCACCGGCUAACUUCGUG
RNAcentral lists this ribosomal RNA (492 nucleotides) under uncultured bacterium. RNAcentral's name for it is "partial 16S ribosomal RNA". It matches the Rfam family "Bacterial small subunit ribosomal RNA", at positions 29 to 507 of the family's 1533-position model. The record is from RNAcentral.